UUUUCUGAUUGCGUUAAAGAACUUUUUAUGCAGGCACAAUACAAUGCAAUACUUUCUCCAUUUUAUAUGGAUAAUCCAGAAAAAUUAUAAAUAUUUUUGUUCGCCUUCCACUAGCUGAGUAACGGGUAUCUGAUAGUCGGGAAACUCGAUUGUAGCAUUGUAGGCAGCAUUGAGUACACCGUAAUUAAAACGGAGAAAACCAGUUCUCAUAAAUAAACAACAAAAUUGUAUAUUUUGUAAAACCUUUAGUCGGCAAUAGUGGCCACUAUAGUCGAGUAUCAGAUAUUCUUUACUCAGUUAGUGGAAGUGCAAACGAGAAAUUUUAAAAUUCUCAUAUAGAAAUUGGAAAGAAAUAUAAAAAAUUUAGAUAGAAUUCAACAAAUUUUCAGUUUUUGGCGGCUUAUGGGCGUUAGAGUGGGAGUGUCAACGCUCAAAAAUCGCUUGCUUAAAAAAUAAUUGUAAGGGGAGAAAAUAUCAAAGGAAUAUUGAAUUUUCAGUUUGCAAAAAUUUAAAUUGAAAAUGGAUUAUUUUUUUUUAACUCGUAACUGUGUAGCCCUUACAAUAACUUUUUAUAACAAAUUUCAUAACCAUGCUCUUUUCAAUGCUUUGGAGUAACAAAACAGAAAAGCCAAUGGAUGUCAAACUAUGCAAACCAAAUUUGCAGAUCGACAAGACUGAUAGAUGAGUUCAUUUUCAGAGAGUGCGCGUUUAAAUUUUCGGGUAAAAUUUGGAAAAGUUUGUUCAAAGUGUUCGUGGAAAAUGCCACGCUUUCAUUUCAGCUCAUUUGCGCCGGGAGAUCGAUCUUUCGCCGAGGAUUGAAAAGUUGAUUUGUAUUGUAGAUAAUUUGAAAAGCGCACACCGACCGGAUAUCACACCUCGAUGAAAACAAAUGAAUGCAAGGUCGAACUAGAAGCGUUGCUAUCAGCUCAUGGAAUGGGGUACAAUUAACCGUUUGCAGCUUGUUGGUCGGCUUAUCUCAUCGACCUAGCACGCACAUCAAGGAUAGGCCAACUACUCUUCGUCAACUUGCACCAGCAGCCUUAAGCCUGCCCUUUCUUCACUAGUCAAACGAAGAAGUGCUGCAGAAUAUAACUGGUUCAAAUGCUUACCAUCAGAUGCCACCUUCACCAACAUCAAUCCGCUUUGCAUUCUACGUUAUGUUAAAUAUCAUGAUUUAUCAGGCGGCAAGUGGAGCCUCGAUGUCGACAACGCAAAUCCUUGAUAACAUAGACAUGGACGAGGACGCCCAUUUUUAAUGUGAUAGGGAGUAGUUAACAAGUAACAUCAGGAAAAACUGCGUGUGACGACGAACGACAAACGAAGCUAUACUACGGAUGCUGGCCGUGAUCUGUGCGAGAUAAGGUAAUCUUAAGCUCUCUCUCUUUGUAUUACUUAGUUCUAAACUGACAGUCGAAAUAAAGAGACGUUAUUGUAAAA
Molecule: long non-coding RNA, 1437 nt
Organism: Drosophila sechellia
Lineage: Eukaryota; Metazoa; Arthropoda; Insecta; Diptera; Drosophilidae
Exons: 4
Source: RefSeq, a predicted model, not a curated record